This 301-nucleotide ribosomal RNA is filed under the name uncultured bacterium. RNAcentral describes it as "partial 16S ribosomal RNA". It matches the Rfam family "Bacterial small subunit ribosomal RNA", at positions 509 to 807 of the family's 1533-position model. The record is from RNAcentral.
CAGCAGCCGCGGGAAUACGAAGGAUGCAAGCGUUAAUCGGAAUUACUGGGUGUAAAGCGUGCGUAGGCGGUGAGUUAAGUCUGCUGUGAAAUCCCCGGGCUCAACCUGGGAAUGGCAGUGGAUACUGGCUCGCUAGAGUGUGUCAGAGGAUGGUGGAAUUCCCGGUGUUGCGGUGAAAUGCGUAGAGAUCGGGAGGAACAUCAGUGGCGAAGGCGGCCAUCUGGGACAACACUGACGCUGAGGCACGAAAGCGUGGGGAGCAAACAGGAUUAGAUACCCCUGUAGUCCCUGUCUCUUAUAC